This 576-nucleotide ribosomal RNA is filed under the name uncultured Pseudomonadota bacterium. RNAcentral's name for it is "bacterial SSU rRNA". It matches the Rfam family "Bacterial small subunit ribosomal RNA", at positions 97 to 649 of the family's 1533-position model. Lineage: Bacteria; Pseudomonadati; Pseudomonadota. The record is from RNAcentral.
GGCGCACGGGUGAGUAACACGUAGGUAAUCUACCCCUCAGUCCGGAAUAACCAGCUGAAAGGCUGGCUAAUGCCGGGUAAGACCACGACCCCUGCGGGGGUUGCGGCCAAAGGUGGCCUCUUCUUGAAAGCUAUCGCUGGGAGAUGAGCCUGCGUACCAUUAGCUAGUUGGUGGGGUAACGGCUCACCAAGGCUAUGAUGGUUAGCUGGUCUGAGAGGAUGACCAGCCACACUGGGACUGAGACACGGCCCAGACUCCUACGGGAGGCAGCAGUGGGGAAUAUUGCGCAAUGGGGGAAACCCUGACGCAGCGACGCCGCGUGGGUGAUGAAGGCCUUCGGGUCGUAAAGCCCUGUCGUAGGGGAAGAACUGGUUGCAGGCUAAUAUCCUGCAGCCUUGACGGUACCCUAUAAGAAAGCACCGGCUAACUCCGUGCCAGCAGCCGCGGUAAUACGGAGGGUGCAAGCGUUGUUCGGAAUUACUGGGCGUAAAGAGCGUGUAGGCGGCUGAUCAAGUCGGGUGUGAAAGCCCGGGGCUUACCCCCGGAAGUGCGCUCGAAACUGGUCAGCUAGAGUAU